Molecule: ribosomal RNA, 3940 nt
Filed under: Triticum aestivum (bread wheat)
Lineage: Eukaryota; Viridiplantae; Streptophyta; Magnoliopsida; Poales; Poaceae
Description: partial small subunit ribosomal RNA
Source: RNAcentral
CCGCUGCUUCCUAUCCGCGACCCCCGUCGACUUGGUAGAGGUAGGUAGAGGUAGAGAUAGAGAAAGUAAAUCAUUAAAUCUUAUCUUUCUUACAUCCACCCCACCCCCUCCACCUUUUUCUCUUCUUCGUUCGUUCCUUCCUUUCUUUAGGGGUUGAGUUUUGAGGAAGGAAGUAGUCUAAACGAGGGGAGGGGUGGGUUUAGACAGACAGGGUUGAGGGUUGGGAUUGGUUUGGGGGUUGAGGUGAGGAAGUAGUGGGUUCUUCGUACCGCGGCCGCCGGCCAGCGCCGGCUCCUGCUCCUGCCCGGGCCCCUGCGCCGGCGCCGGCACCCGCGCCUGCUCGCCGGUUCUGGGGCGGCGGAGGGCGGCGUCUUGGGCGCGGCCUCCUCCGAGGGCUGCGGCGGCUCGUCCUCGUCCUCGUCCUCGUCCUCGUCCUAGUCCUCGUGCUUGUCCUCGUCCUCGUCGAGUGGGUGUUGUGGGUUCUACGGCGGCGGAGACGGAGACGGAGACGGAGACGAAAACGCCCCGCCCUCUGCUAACUCUAGAGACUGAGCUGUCUCCGUAGGGGAGUUGUGACGCGGAGGAGCGGUCUGUAUAUAUCGAGUUGGUGUCAGGUGGUCGUGUAGUUCCUCCUCCUCGGUUGGAGUUAGUGUCAGCUACUCGGCUCACUCCGGCUGCACGGCAGAGGAUGGUUACUACUACUCGUCGUCGUCUUUUACCUCCACCUCCGACCUCUCGGAGUACUAUACAACAACAGGCAUCUCGUUCUUCUUCGCGUUCCUUUAUUAUUGGUCCUCCUACGUCCCGGGCUACGCUUGUUCGUUCGCCAUGUCUCGUUUCUUCGUCUCCACUAUCUCGUCCUCCCACCUUUUCGGCUACUGCUACUACAUCGCCAUUUCUGACGACGUUGAGUACUACGUGUUUUAUUCGUUCUGUCGGUUGGAUUGGGUGAGGUGGUCCCUGUUUACGAACGACGUUGAGUACUACUAUUAAGUCUUUUAUUCGUGGGUGAGGUGGUUGUUGUCUACCUACGAGUCGUCCUUCUCCUCCUCCUCCUCCUAGGAGUUCUCCAGUAGAAGCUGCUGAGACAGAGGCACCCACUUCCCGUCCGGCGUAGACUCUAGUUCGUUCCUCUGCUGGAACGAUUCCGGUGCCUCCUGCUGCUGCUGCCCGUCCGACGUCGACUCUCGUUUGUCCUUCUCGUGGCACGAUCCCGCAGCCUCCUCGUGCCGGUCCGACGUCCACUCCAGUUUGUCGUUCUCCUGCUCGCGUUCCAAUACAGUCUGUACCGGUUCUUGUCCGUCGCGUUUUUCCUCGAUCUCUAGAAACACCCUCCCGACCUGGCACUUCGGCAGCUCCUCCUAUAAUCCUUCCACAAACGCGUGCAGCCAGUACAACACCUCCAGGCAGAGGUGUUCCUAGAGAGGUGGUUGUUCUUGUUCCCGAAACGCAAGCAGUCCAAACGUUUGUUUGUGGUCCACCGAGCGCGCGAACGACUCCACUUCUUAGGAUACUAUGUACCGUUUGCAACACGGUAACGGCGAUCGCUCCUGUUGCUGUGUGAGAAGAACCCGUUAUAAACGUUAUGUACCUGUUUCCUUCGAUAAUUCUUCUCCGACGAACUGAUACCUCAACUUCCUCAAGUUUCGAAUUGAGAACAAGGACUAUGAGUUUUGCUUCCGGUCUCGGCACCAAAACGUAAAGAGCUCAAAAGAACGGUGCGCCUACGCUACGAACGUAAGUUCUCCGACGUCGUUGGUCUACGAGACAAACCAGUAGGACUCUCUUGACGUUUUCAACGAAAACGUCUCGGUUAUUUUCUUCGUCUACGUCUUCAAUACCGAGUCCAGUUUAGUCAAAAAUAACUACCUGAAGGUGGUAUGACCCUACUUCUCGCACAAUUUUUGGCUAAGUUUCGAAUACCAAACUAUCUUGCUCAACACGAACGAGCGUUAUACAGAUCACGAUUUUCUUUGCUAAAACCUAAACAGUUGAAGAGUUGGGUACUCCUCCGAGAACGAACAUAACUUCGGUGGUUGUUGUGGCUCGACCCACUACAACCUUUUCGUUUCCGACACUUUCCACUUUACUCACCGCCCAAAGCUUAACCUGUAGGACCUAGACCAAAAUUGUCCGGACCAUCUCCAAAAUUAUCCCCUUCUCGACGGGGAGCGGCCCUUCCAAAGGUACCACUAUCCCCAAAGUUAUUAGUGUGAGGACAAGCACCACCCUCUAAAUUAAGACGUAUGUCAUUGUUGUCAAAACUUCGAAGCGGGAGACUAAAGGCUCGGUCCGUCCGAGGAGGACGGAAAGCUCCCCCAAGGAGUCCUUCCGUCGUACUAAACAAACUAUCUCCUGUCCCCUCUCCUAUAGUAGUAGGUGGAUCUCCCGGUUGUAAACUCGGGCUCCCACUAAAACCAUCUGGGAAACCACUUUUGGGUAUAGAGAUACUUCUACAAGCCGUACCACGAUUCUCCGGUAUAAGAGUGUACCUUGGGCCAGGAGGACCUAUGAAACUCGUACCACCAGGAGGAGCACACGCGGGAGCGAAACUGGUAAUGCUCGUCGGUGGUAAAGGACCUCCCUUGGCAAAACCAGUAAUACUGGUCGGUGGUAAAGGACCUCCACUGGCGGUGUCUCUGAGAAAACCCUGCUCCCCACCAAUAAGUGCACUAGUAGUGAUACCGGGACGAGGACCAGUACGGGUACGGGUACGGGGAGGGGGACGGGGUCGAGUUAUACCAUCCCCACGUAAGGUUGGUGUGGUAUCUCCGCCCGUAAGACCUCCGCCAAUAAUGGUGGUGAUCCACCAUAGUGUCAUACAGAGAACAGUCGACCACACCGAAAGAGAAUGACCAGAACAAACUAUAAACGUUACUAGUACGCCGUGAUUGUAGCCAAAUGUACGUCUGUAGUCCACCACGGCACACUGUGAUCACAAACCAAACCAUCACUGAUCACUCUUUGUAUAACGGCGAAUAAUCGAUGAUCAUGAGCGUUCAGUCAACCAACAAUCAAUAGAAAGUUUCAUGGCAAGCAACAGCGUCUGGUUAUUAAUUGACAGGAACAAUUUCCUGUACAAACCCCAGUACUUAGACAACACUCCUAUAACCACCUACUACAAUAUCUUGAUCUCCGUACUGUACCUGGCUGGAGAGACAUAAACUAAUCUAUUGUAAUACCUAAUACCUAAAAUCUGUCAAAUACACCGAAACGCCUCUUAACGGACUCUAACAACUACAACCAGAACUCCAGUUACCCCUAUACUCUGACAACAAACCAUUCUAUAAACUAAGAACAGAACCCCUAUAAACCACAUGUACAACACUAAUAUAUCACCUACCUACUACGUACGUCAUUGAUCGUAAGUGUACUCCGACGUCAAAUACCACAGUGUUAACAACCUCAACCAGUUCAUCUGAACAAAACAGCUCCAAGUAACCGACCGAUAAAAUCGUGAACCCAGGUUUAAACCAGUAUAAAUACUCCACGAGUAACCCCCUGUACUACUGUCUUAAAGUCGUACCUAGUUGUUCAACAAAACCACAAUAUAUUCUCUAACCAAGACCAACCAAGUUAAUACUCAACCUAAAACCCAACAACUACCAACGUAUGCCUUUGAAAAUCCGAAACCACAAAGACCAUGCGGUUCCUCAUCCUUAAAACCGGGGAUUGAACUAAAGGAACAGAACCAUUAAACGAUUGCACGCUUUUAAUGACCUCGUAGAAGUACUCCGUCCAUUCUACAAGCAGAUCUCCGCCGCACGACGUAAGAACCCCGCUACUUCCGUAAGAACCACAUACGUAUCGUCGUAAACUUCUACCUACAAAACAAACAUGUAAACUGGUGAGAACACAAAAAUCUAUGUAAGGGUCUACAAAAAAACAAAAAACUUUGAGGCACGUGUGUACAAAACUUACACUACUAUUAAUAUUAACG